GAUGAACGCUGGCGGCGUGCCUAAUACAUGCAAGUCGAGCGAACAGACGAGGAGCUUGCUCCUCUGACGUUAGCGGCGGACGGGUGAGUAACACGUGGAUAACCUACCUAUAAGACUGGGAUAACUUCGGGAAACCGGAGCUAAUACCGGAUAAUAUAUUGAACCGCAUGGUUCAAUAGUGAAAGACGGUUUUGCUGUCACUUAUAGAUGGAUCCGCGCCGCAUUAGCUAGUUGGUAAGGUAACGGCUUACCAAGGCAACGAUGCGUAGCCGACCUGAGAGGGUGGGCGGCCACACUGGAACUGAGACACGAUCCAGACUCCGACGGGAGGAACAAGGAGGGAAUCUUCCGCAAUGGGAGAAGGCCUGAGGGAGCACCGCCGGGUGGGUGAUGAAGGUCUUCGGAUCGUAAAACUCUGUUAUUAGGGAAGAACAAAUGUGAAAGUAUCUAUGCCCGUCUUGAGGUUCCCUAAUAAAAAAGCCACGGAAAACUCCGUC
RNAcentral lists this ribosomal RNA (497 nucleotides) under uncultured bacterium. Its description in RNAcentral is "partial 16S ribosomal RNA". It matches the Rfam family "Bacterial small subunit ribosomal RNA", at positions 28 to 507 of the family's 1533-position model. The record is from RNAcentral.